Molecule: long non-coding RNA, 457 nt
Filed under: Ananas comosus (pineapple)
Lineage: Eukaryota; Viridiplantae; Streptophyta; Magnoliopsida; Poales; Bromeliaceae
Description: long non-coding RNA (ACOM_LNC027159)
Source: RNAcentral
AUUUUUUAAAAAAUAUUCAUUUUCAAUCGUUCAUUUUUGUGUCCACUUGAUGGAUAAGAAAACAAUAUAAAAAAUGUAUGAAAUUUGAUUUCUAAAUACUUCAAGUGGUAUAGAUCAUGUUUAACGGUGCCGAUUGUCAAUUUGGAGGCUUCAUCAUUGAAAACAAAUGGGUGGCAACGGAACCCGUAUGCUACCGAUAGUAUUCUAGCUCAACUCUAUAUAUAUAUAUAGAACUAGGCUGGAAUACUAUCAAUAGCACCAAGCUAUUAGUGCGAUUAAGUUUUCGGCCUUUGAAUGAAAAAAUAUACAGUUAAGAUGAUGUGGGCCCUCUAAGAUUGAGUGAGUUAUUGGUUUAAUAGUAUAAUCUAACGGAUAAAAAUAGUCGAAGGGUUAAAUCUAACAGCAGAAAACUUGAUAGCACCAAACGCUUGGUACUAUCGAUAGCAUAUCAGCGGGA